This 29-nucleotide non-coding RNA is filed under the name Rattus norvegicus (Norway rat). Lineage: Eukaryota; Metazoa; Chordata; Mammalia; Rodentia; Muridae. The record is from RNAcentral.
UACCAGUGGGUGAACGAGCUCCUUGUCUC